Molecule: transfer RNA, 73 nt
Filed under: Spumella sp. NIES-1846
Lineage: Eukaryota; Chrysophyceae; Chromulinales; Chromulinaceae
Description: tRNA-Trp
Rfam family: tRNA
About the family: Transfer RNA (tRNA) molecules are approximately 80 nucleotides in length. Their secondary structure includes four short double-helical elements and three loops (D, anti-codon, and T loops). Further hydrogen bonds mediate the characteristic L-shaped molecular structure. tRNAs have two regions of fundamental functional importance: the anti-codon, which is responsible for specific mRNA codon recognition, and the 3' end, to which the tRNAs corresponding amino acid is attached (by aminoacyl-tRNA synthetases). tRNAs cope with the degeneracy of the genetic code in two manners: having more than one tRNA (with a specific anti-codon) for a particular amino acid; and 'wobble' base-pairing, i.e. permitting non-standard base-pairing at the 3rd anti-codon position.
Source: RNAcentral
ACAUCUAUAAUUUAAAUGGUAAAAUAUAAAAUUCCAAAUUUUCAUAAUGAAGGUUCAAAUCCUUCUAGAUGUG